This is a long non-coding RNA of Arachis duranensis, 833 nucleotides long. RefSeq lists it as uncharacterized. The transcript is spliced from 3 exons. NCBI's taxonomy places the organism in Eukaryota, Viridiplantae, Streptophyta, Magnoliopsida, Fabales, Fabaceae. The record is from RefSeq and is a predicted model, not a curated record.
AUUUUUUCCUUACCAAAUGAAACCCUGGCUGCUGCCUUUACUUCCCUCAGCCACCAAAAUCCUUUUUUUCUCCCAAACCGACGCAGCUUCAUGGAAUAGAGAGAAGGGAGAAAAGAGAAGCGGAGAGGGAGAAGAGGAAGAAGGGUGAGCCGAGAAGAGGGAGGUGCCGCGUUGCCGCCGCCGUCCAGCCGCCUCGCCAUAGCCACCUCUUCUGCGCUGUUGUUGGAGAAAGUUGUGUCGCAGUCGUCCAUGAGGCUGUCAUCAUGUGCCAUCGUUGAAGCCAACGGCCAUCCCGUCGCCGUCAUCCGCGCGAGAUUGCGAAGGGAGAAAGGGACGAACAUGGAGUGAGAAGGAGGGAUGACUGCCACCGUCGAGCUGCUGUAACCCGUCGUCGUUGUCGCGUCUGUCGCCGCCGAUGGAGGAAUCCACCGCUGAGCUGGACGCCGGGAAGAAAGGAUGUGAUGGUGGGGAGAGGUGUUGUCGCUGCGGUGGCCGUUGUUGCGGAUGGAGGUUGUCACUGAGCUGCAUGCAGCUAUUGGAGCUGCUCUGCCGCCGUUCUGGUCACCGGGUAUGGCUCCGGUGUUGCUGGAACCAUCAUCGAAACUUCUGCAGUUUUGCUCGGUCGUUACUCCUUAGUACGAAGUGGUUUGGAAUUGAGGUUGCAGUUGCCGAGGUUACAGGCUGAGAAGAAAGCGUUUUGACGCGCUGUAUAGCUUUCGAGUUUCGAUGAGUUGAGGUUUUUCUCUUUUCAGGAUAUGGGCGACGGAGCUUCAAAAGAGUUAUAUUCAUUUUCUGUUUAUUCGACAUUAUUUUGUAUUAUCUUAGUUUUUAUU